AAAGGAAUAGACGGGGGCCCGCACAAGCAGCGGAGCAUGUGGUUUAAUUCGAAGCAACGCGAAGAACCUUACCAAGGCUUGACAUCCUACUAAAGCUGUGGAAACACAGUGUCCCUUCGGGGGAGUAGAGACAGGUGGUGCAUGGUUGUCGUCAGCUCGUGUCGUGAGAUGUUGGGUUAAGUCCCGCAACGAGCGCAACCCUUAUUACUAGUUACCAGCGGAUAAAGCCGGGAACUCUAGUGAGACCGCCGGGGAUAACUCGGAGGAAGGUGGGGACGACGUCAAAUCAUCAUGCCCCUUAUGUCUUGGGCUACACACGUGCUACAAUGGCCACUACAGAGGGCAGCGAAGUCGCAAGGCGAAGCAAAUCUCAGAAAAGUGGUCCCAGUUCGGAUUGUGGGCUGCAACCCGCCCACAUGAAGUCGGAGUUGCUAGUAAUCGCGAAUCAGCAUGUCGCGGUGAAUACGUUCCCGGGCCUUGUACACACCGCCCGU
Molecule: ribosomal RNA, 494 nt
Filed under: uncultured bacterium
Lineage: Bacteria
Description: bacterial SSU rRNA
Rfam family: Bacterial small subunit ribosomal RNA
Source: RNAcentral